AUGGGUCCACAGCACGUACUCCCCAUCGGCUUCGGCUUUGCUCCUUUCCGUCGGAGGCGGCACGUCAAGAAACAUACCCGUCCUAGCCGCAAGCUUGCGCGUAAAAAACAUACCUGUCGGGUAGCUAAUAUCUAUUUUGACAAGAGGAUGAGCCUGCCUUCUAACAGCAACAGCAGCCAGGAGUUGGCACCUGAAGUCAUAGCUAAGGCGCGGGAUGAUUGGUUUAGGAGAAUUAUGGAGGAAUGUGUUAAAGCUGCUACAUGUCCGGAGCUUAAUGAAGGGCGUGCACUUCAAUCGAGUGCGCGGGGAGGCACAGGUGGAGAAGUUUGUUUUAUCAAGAGUGCUCGUCAGGGUUCCCGUCCAAGAAAGAGGCCAGCACCAGAACAGCCUGUGGACUAUUUAGCUAGAAAAAGGCAACUGACUGCUGGGGCCCAUUGUGAAGCAAACACAGCUCAAGAAGUUUGUUUUACUGAGAGUGCUCGUCAGGGUUCCCAUCCAAGAAAGAGACCAAUGACAGAACAGAUGGAGGACUGUCUAGCUACAAAGAAGCAACUGACAGCUGGGGAUAAUGGUGAAGCAAGUGUCAAAGCUCAGUCGUCCUCGACAGUCUGA
Molecule: ribosomal RNA, 612 nt
Filed under: Triticum aestivum (bread wheat)
Lineage: Eukaryota; Viridiplantae; Streptophyta; Magnoliopsida; Poales; Poaceae
Description: partial small subunit ribosomal RNA
Source: RNAcentral